GACGAACGCUGGCGGCGUGCCUAAUACAUGCAAGUAGGACGCAGUUGCGAACGGGUGAGUAACGCGUAGGUAACUACCUAUUAGUGGGGGAUAACUAUUGGAAACGAUAGCUAAUACCGCAUACUAGUAGAUGGACCUGCGUUGUAUUAGCUAGUAGGUAGGGUAAUGGCCUACCUAGGCAACGAUACAUAGCCGACCAUGACGGGUGGUCGGCCAGACUGGGACUGAGACACUGCCCAGACUCCUACGGGAGGCAGCAGUAGGGAAACUUCGGAAAUGGGGGGAAGCCUGACCGAGCAACGCCGCGUGAGUGAAGAAGGUUUUCGGAUCGUAAAACUCUGUUGUUAAGGAAGCGGUACUUAACCAGAAAGGGACGGCUAACUACGUGCCAGCAGCCGCGGUAAUAC
This 407-nucleotide ribosomal RNA is filed under the name uncultured bacterium. Its description in RNAcentral is "partial 16S ribosomal RNA". It matches the Rfam family "Bacterial small subunit ribosomal RNA", at positions 28 to 526 of the family's 1533-position model. The record is from RNAcentral.